CCUUUACUUGUAGGAGUACAUCUUGGAUUUGUCGAUUAUGUUAUGGCCAGAGUCCUACUCAUGGCGACCAGGUUGAAUUGGGGGAAGCUGUAGGUAUUAUUGCAGGUCAAUCGAUUGGAGAAUCGGGUACUCAAUUAACAUUAAGAACUUUUCAUACCGGAGGAGUAUUCACGGGGGGUACUGCAGAACAUGUGCGAGCCCCAUCUAAUGGAAAAAUCAAAUAUAUAUACAUAUAUAUCCCUUUACUUGUAGGAGUACAUCUUGGAUUUGUCGAUUAUGUUAUGGCCAGAGUCCUACUCAUGGCGACCAGGUUGAAUUGGGGGAAGCUGUAGGUAUUAUUGCAGGUCAAUCGAUUGGAGAACCGGGUACUCAAUUAACAUCUAGAAGUUUUCAUACCGGAUGAGUAUUCACGGGGGGUACUGCAGAACAUGUGCGAGGCCCAUCUAAUGGAAAAAUAAAAUUCAAUGAGGAUUUGGUUCAUCUGACACGUACACGUCAUGGGCAUCCCGCCUUUCUAUGUUCUAUAGACUUG
RNAcentral lists this long non-coding RNA (532 nucleotides) under Nicotiana benthamiana. Its description in RNAcentral is "long non-coding RNA (NBEN_LNC026573)". The record is from RNAcentral. Lineage: Eukaryota; Viridiplantae; Streptophyta; Magnoliopsida; Solanales; Solanaceae.